This 645-nucleotide ribosomal RNA is filed under the name uncultured bacterium. Its description in RNAcentral is "bacterial SSU rRNA". It matches the Rfam family "Bacterial small subunit ribosomal RNA", at positions 110 to 753 of the family's 1533-position model. The record is from RNAcentral.
GUAACGCGUAUGCAAUCUACCCUUUACUGGGGAAUAGCCCGGAGAAAUUCGGAUUAAUGCCCCAUAUGCCCACGGAAUCGCAUGGUUCAGUGGGGAAAGUUCCGACGGUAAAGGAUGAGCAUGCGUCCCAUUAGCUAGUUGGUGAGGUAACGGCUCACCAAGGCGACGAUGGGUAGGGGGCCUGAGAGGGUGAUCCCCCACACUGGUACUGAGACACGGACCAGACUCCUACGGGAGGCAGCAGUGAGGAAUAUUGGGCAAUGGAGGCAACUCUGACCCAGCUAUGCCGCGUGCAGGAAGACGGCCCUCUGGGUUGUAAACUGCUUUUGUUUGGGAAUAAACCCUCCUACGUGUAGGAGGCUGAAGGUACCUUACGAAUAAGCAUCGGCUAACUCCGUGCCAGCAGCCGCGGUAAUACGGAGGAUGCAAGCGUUAUCCGGAUUUAUUGGGUUUAAAGGGUCCGUAGGCGGAUCUUUAAGUCAGUGGUGAAAGCCCACAGCUCAACUGUGGAACUGCCAUUGAUACUGGAGAUCUUGAGUGUAGUAGAAGUAGGCGGAAUAGGGCAUGUAGCGGUGAAAUGCAUAGAUAUGCCCUAGAACACCGAUUGCGAAGGCAGCUUACUAUGUUACAACUGACGCUGAGGGA